RNAcentral lists this ribosomal RNA (253 nucleotides) under uncultured bacterium. RNAcentral describes it as "partial 16S ribosomal RNA". It matches the Rfam family "Bacterial small subunit ribosomal RNA", at positions 524 to 776 of the family's 1533-position model. The record is from RNAcentral.
UACGUAGGGGGCAAGCGUUGUCCGGAUUUAUUGGGCGUAAAGAGCGUGUAGGCGGCUUCACAGGUCCGCUGUGAAAACUCGAGGCUCAACCUCGAGCUGUCGGUGGAAACCGUGUGGCUAGAGUCCGGAAGAGGAGAGUGGAAUUCCCGGUGUAGCGGUGAAAUGCGCAGAUAUCGGGAAGAACACCCGUGGCGAAGGCAGCUCGCUGGGACGUUACUGACGCUGAGACGCGAAAGCGUGGGGAGCAAACAGG